Lentinula aciculospora is the source of this 88-nucleotide non-coding RNA. The record is from the annotation of a GenBank genome assembly. NCBI's taxonomy places the organism in Eukaryota, Fungi, Basidiomycota, Agaricomycetes, Agaricales, Omphalotaceae.
GCCUGCCUAGCUCAAUCGGAUAGAGCGUCAGACUUUUAUGUUUAAGGCGGUCAUCUGAAGGCUGCGAGUUCGACCCUCGCGGUGGGGC